RNAcentral lists this unclassified non-coding RNA (449 nucleotides) under Hevea brasiliensis (rubber tree). Lineage: Eukaryota; Viridiplantae; Streptophyta; Magnoliopsida; Malpighiales; Euphorbiaceae. The record is from RNAcentral.
GAUGUGUGUGGUGGUUGAGGUUAUAACUGAAAAUUCAUUUUGUGACAAUGCUAAUGCAAGAUCAUGUACUAGAUCGUGUAUUUUACAUGUAAUCUCAAAAACCAAAUCCUCAAAAUCUUGAAAAGAAUUUCUAGAUCCCAACUCUUGAAAAUAGCGCAAUCCAAUAUCUUCUAGAACUUCAUUUUCAUUUGUUGAUUGAAGAAGUCCGUGUGCCAUCCAAACAUAAAUUAAUACAGACCUAUUGAAUUCAUAGUCCUUUGGAAAAAAAGAGCAAUAAACAAAGCACUUUUUCAAAUAAGGAGGCAAUUGUUCAUAACUUAAUUUUAAAGCAGAUAAAAUUUUAUUUUCUUUUUGCUCAAUUUUCCAUAACUCGCUAUCUCUUAUAGAUUUCCAAUGACUUUCAUCUGUUUUCAUAAAAAGAAGUAAUGCUAGUGUCUUCACUGCUAAUG